GGGAGUGAUCUUGCUGCGACAUCUGUCACCCCAGUGACCACCAGGGUCGAUUCAGCUGAUCUGGCUGUCUAGGCAGGUGUCACCUUUCUCCCAUGUGCAUCCCUCCUGAAGCUACAAACUCACUCGAAGGGGAAGACCUUCCCCGAUAGAGGAGGACCAUUCUUCGCUCAAGGGUAUAUGAGUAGCUGCAUUCCCCUGGUUGAACCUCCAAACAGGCUCCCAAUAACUUAUGUCCAUUUUUUAUACUACAAUGGCCAUGUAGUUUUUUAUUUUUUAAAGUUUACUACACACAGUAUACAGAAUGCUAA
RNAcentral lists this small nuclear RNA (308 nucleotides) under Prolemur simus (greater bamboo lemur). RNAcentral describes it as "7SK RNA (ENSPSMG00000021570.1)". The stretch from base 3 to 275 matches the Rfam family "7SK RNA". From Rfam's summary of the family: 7SK was discovered as an abundant small nuclear RNA in the mid-70s but a possible function has only recently been suggested. Two independent studies have found that 7SK RNA binds the CDK9/cyclin T complex (known as elongation factor P-TEFb). P-TEFb activates transcription by phosphorylating the C-terminal domain of RNA polymerase II. The record is from RNAcentral. Lineage: Eukaryota; Metazoa; Chordata; Mammalia; Primates; Lemuridae.